Long non-coding RNA from Athalia rosae (coleseed sawfly), 1286 nucleotides. RefSeq lists it as uncharacterized. The transcript has 2 exons. Lineage: Eukaryota; Metazoa; Arthropoda; Insecta; Hymenoptera; Athaliidae. The record is from RefSeq and is a predicted model, not a curated record.
CACGCUGUAGGUCACUUGCGGUGCUUGUUCCGUAAUAUCGUUCAUCUAUACUCGUUCAUUAACAUGCACUCGCCUGUAUUAUAAUCGAUAACAGAUAACACAGAGUUCGGUUUUGUUUCAGCUGCUACUGCAGUAGUCGUUCGAGUUCACUGGCGAAACGGUCAAAACUUGCUCCGGUCCACCCACUACUCGUAAUUAUGUCAAGGACCUUCAAAGCCUUCUCUUCGUCCGCACAUAACAUCCUCAUAGUAUAUAAGGCCGAUUAACCAACCGGGCCGAUCACGCCAGAGAUAAUUCUUUAUAUCGAACAGUCGACGAGGCAAAAUCUCCAAGCUGCUGCAGCGAUCGCGUGCUUUGGCAUUAAACAUUUUUAUUGAUUCCUUUUUUUUUUUUUUUUUUUUUUCUACACCUAUAGUGUCGCGUAUUCUGGUAGCUAACGAGAGAUCUGUUUGAUUUUCAGGGCGUUUCUGUUCCAGGGUUAAAUAUGAAUUGAUUAUAACACGUCCACACGAAGUCACAUGUACGUUCAAAUAUCUAUCGAAAAUUACACGGUACACAAGUGAUCGCAAAUUUGUAUUUCACGAGUUGUGAAUUGUGUAGAACAAAACUGUCUUUAUAAAAUACAGCUUUCGUUAUGUUCAAUUUUGCAGAGGGAUUGAUUUAUGAAUACAAUUACGCGGGUACGAAUAUGAGCCUAGUUUCAUAUCGGUUUCAAUUUCGUAAUCAUCUGCAUACCUCAAGAUAGAAAUAAGAUGAAAAAAAAAAAUUAAACAAACCGACCUGCGUGUACACGAGAAAAAGGAGAUAACGAAAUGUCACAUGCGGUUUUGUAACGCUUACAAUCAGACCCACCAGAGAUACACACGAUUGAUAUUCAGGUAUUUUUUAAUGUGGAACACAUGAUAUCGUGUCGUCGAAAUUUUUUGGUAUCAAUGACCCGCUAAAACUAAUAACCAUUCGACGCAUAAUUAUGCAAAGAGUCGCCAGAGGAUAUUUUUGUUUUUUGUGUAACACGCAAGCGAUUUUUUUGAAUCUAUUUAUCUUAUUUUUUCCGAACAAACUUCACGGGAAUCUGCAUAAUUUCAACCGACUUGACGUACCGAUCUCUCUGUGAAUCUUAAAAGAAAACAAAACUGAUGUGAUCGAACGAAGUUUCAAAAAAUAAUUGAGAAAGUUUAGUACGAGCUAAACUAUCGCCAAUUCUGAACAGUUUACGAAGGGGUAAAAAAAUGUGUUCGAUCUCUUAUUAAAAAUAAAUGUCGAAUAAAAAUGAACUUUAAAAACUA